Long non-coding RNA from Hyaena hyaena (striped hyena), 316 nucleotides. RefSeq lists it as uncharacterized. The record is from RefSeq and is a predicted model, not a curated record. The transcript is spliced from 3 exons. NCBI's taxonomy places the organism in Eukaryota, Metazoa, Chordata, Mammalia, Carnivora, Hyaenidae.
UGCAGCUUUAAUUUCGGAUCAGUUCAUCUCAGAAACAAUGAGCCCUCUGAGACCUAACUCAUGAGUUCACCUAAUGAUUUGUCUACAAUUGUGCUUGGCCUGUUCCUUGAUUUUCUACCAUUCUGAAUCAUUAUGAUUUAGAUUAAUUCUGCCUACGUUAGUGACCAUCUAUGUCCAGAGUAUAAAAUGAUGGGAUUGAACUUUGCAAGGAAGAUUUCAUCAGAAAGUAUUGUCACCAGAAUAAAUUUUUUCUCAAGACCAUGAGAGAGAGAGAGAGAGAGAGAGAGAAGAAGAAGAAGAAGAAGAAGAAGAAGAA